RNAcentral lists this ribosomal RNA (856 nucleotides) under bacterium enrichment culture clone 3_62. RNAcentral's name for it is "bacterial SSU rRNA". It matches the Rfam family "Bacterial small subunit ribosomal RNA", at positions 21 to 875 of the family's 1533-position model. The record is from RNAcentral.
GGCUCAGGACGAACGCUGGCGGCGUGCUUAACACAUGCAAGUCUACGAGAACGAGGUAGCAAUAUCUCUAUUAAAGUGGCGCACGGGUGCGUAACACGUAAGCAAUCUACCUUUGGGUCUGGAAUAACUUCGAGGAAUCGGGGCUAAUACCGGAUAAUGCAGCGGCACCGCAUGGUGAUGUUGUUAAAGUUUAAGUAAUGCCUUUAGAUGAGCUUGCGUCUGAUUAGCUAGUUGGUAGAGUAAUAGCCUACCAAGGCAACGAUCAGUAGCUGGUCUGAGAGGAUGAUCAGCCACACUGGAACUGAGACACGGUCCAGACUCCUACGGGAGGCAGCAGUGAGGAAUAUUGGGCAAUGCCCGCAAGGGUGACCCAGCAACGCCGCGUGGAGGAUGAAGGCCGUAAGGUUGUAAACUCCUGUUAGAGGAGAAGAAUAGUACCGAUUGGAUCGGUAUUUGACUGUACCCUCAGAGAAAGCCCCGGCUAACUACGUGCCAGCAGCCGCGGUAAUACGUAGGGGGCAAGCGUUGUCCGGAUUUACUGGGUGUAGAGGGCGCGCAGGCGGGAUAGCAAGUCAGAGGUGAAAUCCUACAGCUUAACUGUAGAACUGCCUUUGAUACUGUUAUUCUUGAGUUCGGGAGAGAGAGACGGAAUUCCAGGUGUAGUGGUGAAAUACGUAGAUAUCUGGAAGAACACCAGUUGCGAAGGCGGUCUCUUGGUCCGAUACUGACGCUGAGGCGCGAAAGCGUGGGGAGCAAACAGGAUUAGAUACCCUGGUAGUCCACGCUGUAAACGAUGAAUACUAUGUGUUGGGUUUUUAACUCAGUGCCGCAGCUAACGCAUUAAGUAUUCCACCUG